Molecule: ribosomal RNA, 254 nt
Filed under: uncultured bacterium
Lineage: Bacteria
Description: partial 16S ribosomal RNA
Rfam family: Bacterial small subunit ribosomal RNA
Source: RNAcentral
UACGGGGGGCGCAAGCGUUGUUCGGAUUUACUGGGCGUAAAGGGCGCGUAGGCGGUCAGCACAGGUCACUUGUGAAAUCUCCGGGCUUAACUCGGAAAGGUCAACUGAUACUGUGCGACUAGAGUGCGGAAGGGGCAACUGGAAUUCUCGGUGUAGCGGUGAAAUGCGUAGAUAUCGAGAGGAACACCUGCGGCGAAGGCGGGUUGCUGGGCAGACACUGACGCUGAGGCGCGAAAGCCAGGGGAGCGAACGGG